UACGUAGGGUGCAGGCGUUAAUCGGAAUUACUGGGCGUAAAGCGUGCGCAGGCGGUCUAUUAAGACAGGUGUGAAAUCCCCGGGCUUAACCUGGGAACUGCGCUUGUAACUGAGAGGCUUGAGUGCGGCAGAGGGGGGUGGAAUUCCACGUGUAGCAGUGAAAUGUGUAGAGAUGUGGAGGAACACCGAUGGCGAAGGCAGCCCCUGGGUCGACACUGACGCUCAUGCACGAAAGCGUGGGGAGCAAACAGGAUUAGAAACCCGUGUAGU
This 270-nucleotide ribosomal RNA is filed under the name uncultured bacterium. RNAcentral describes it as "partial 16S ribosomal RNA". It matches the Rfam family "Bacterial small subunit ribosomal RNA", at positions 524 to 794 of the family's 1533-position model. The record is from RNAcentral.